RNAcentral lists this ribosomal RNA (473 nucleotides) under uncultured bacterium. Its description in RNAcentral is "bacterial SSU rRNA". It matches the Rfam family "Bacterial small subunit ribosomal RNA", at positions 328 to 793 of the family's 1533-position model. The record is from RNAcentral.
CUCUGUGACUCCUACGGGAGGCAGCAGUGGGGAAUAUUGCACAAUGGGGGAAACCCUGAUGCAGCCAUGCCGCGUGUGUGAAGAAGGCCUUCGGGUUGUAAAGCACUUUCAGUAGGGAGGAAGGUAGUGUAGUUAACACCUGCAUUAUUUGACGUUACCUACAGAAGAAGCACCGGCUAACUCCGUGCCAGCAGCCGCGGUAAUACGGAGGGUGCGAGCGUUAAUCGGAAUUACUGGGCGUAAAGCGCAUGCAGGCGGCCUGUUAAGUCAGAUGUGAAAGCCCCGGGGCUUAACCUCGGAAUUGCAUUUGAAACUGGCAGGCUAGAGUCUUGUAGAGGGGGUAGAAUUUCAGGUGUAGCGGUGAAAUGCGUAGAGAUCUGAAGGAAUACCAGUGGCGAAGGCGGCCCCCUGGACAAAGACUGACGCUCAGAUGCGAAAGCGUGGGGAGCAAACAGGAUUAGACACCCUGGUAG